RNAcentral lists this small RNA (516 nucleotides) under Oryza sativa Japonica Group (Japanese rice). Its description in RNAcentral is "sRNA Os12g0179951". Lineage: Eukaryota; Viridiplantae; Streptophyta; Magnoliopsida; Poales; Poaceae. The record is from RNAcentral.
CUUCGGUUGCUUCUGCUGAUGAAGUCGGAGCUGCUCGCUGAUGGGGUGUGGCGAUGCUUGGCAACGAUGACAAGUUGCAGUCUCUUCCAAGGAGUUGGUGCUGGCCGUGUGAAGGAAGUGUCUCUUUGGUGGCUUGGCUGAUGUCCAUUGUUGGAUGUCGGAGCUGCUUUUCGCUCUGGCGACUUUCACGGAUUCAGUGUCGCUGUGGUUUGUGAAGUCGGCGCUGCUGGGUCGCUUGGGCGGCUAGCUCGGCAACGAUAACACCUCUUCUGUGAUGUUGGAGCUGUUUGGGCCGCUUUUGUGUUUUAGCUUGGCAAUGAUGUUCUACAUUUAGACUCCGCCGUUGUUGCUAGUUGUGUAGCUAGAUCUCUUGCUUUCUUCUGUGUGGUGGGUUUUAGCCGGUUUCUCGCAAUUAACCGUGCAGUUGUAUGGUUUUCGGGCCCGGUUUUCCUUAUAAAUUGGGUCAAUUCUCUUCUUCUAAAUAUAAAAGUGGAACAAAGUUCCGCCUUAGGUUUC